Molecule: ribosomal RNA, 508 nt
Filed under: Sphaeridium bipustulatum
Lineage: Eukaryota; Metazoa; Arthropoda; Insecta; Coleoptera; Hydrophilidae
Description: partial 16S ribosomal RNA
Rfam family: Bacterial large subunit ribosomal RNA
Source: RNAcentral
GUCCUUUUGAAAUUGAUUUAAGGUCUAGCCUGCUCAAUGAAUUAUUAAAUAGCUGCAGUAUUUUGACUGUACAAAGGUAGCAUAAUCAUUAGCUUUUUAAUUGAAAGCUUGUAUGAAUGGCUGAAUGAGAAAAAAACUGUCUAUCUAUAAUUAAGUAGAAUUUUAUUUUUAAGUUAAAAAGCUUAAAUAAUAUUAAAAGACGAGAAGACCCUAUAGAGUUUAAUUAAAAUUUUAGUUUUAUUAAUUUGGUAAAUUAUAUUUAUAAUUAAGAUUUUUAAUUUGAUUGGGGUGAUUUUAAAAUUUAAAAAACUUUUAAAAUUUUUUAACAUAAAUUUAUGAUUAAAUGAUCCAUUUUUAAUGAUUAGUAGAUUAAAUUACCUUAGGGAUAACAGCGUAAUCUUUUUGGAGAGUUCUUAUUAAUAAAAAGGAUUGCGACCUCGAUGUUGGAUUAAAAUUAACUAUUGGUGCAGAAGCUAAUAAGUUGGGUCUGCUCGACCUUUAAAAUUUU